This 396-nucleotide ribosomal RNA is filed under the name Triticum aestivum (bread wheat). RNAcentral's name for it is "partial small subunit ribosomal RNA". The record is from RNAcentral. Lineage: Eukaryota; Viridiplantae; Streptophyta; Magnoliopsida; Poales; Poaceae.
CUCAGAGUGAUGGCAUUUCAAGAACCUAAGAAGUGGUGUUCUUGGUUAUCACUGGCAGAGUGGUGGUUCAGUACCUCCUAUCACACAGCUACUAAGUUUACUCCAUUCCAGUGCUUAUAUGGGUUUCCUCCUCCACUCAUUGGAGAAGUCUCCAUCCCUGGACCUGGUGAUUCUGAAGCAGAAUCCUUUUUGCAACAAAGAGAGAUUAUGCAACAGCAACUCAAACAAAACUUACUAGUAGCACAACAACGCAUGAAGAAAUAUGCUGAUGCAAACAGAACUGACAGGCAUUUCACAGAGGGAGAGAUGGUAUAUCUCAAAAUGCAGCCGUACAGAUUAGCUGCCUUCGGAAUCAGAACUGGAUUGAAGCUUGCCACAAAGUUUUAUGCUCCUUUU